GUCGCACCGGUUCGAUCGGGAGACUCAUCAAAUAAUUCUGAAAACCGAGACAGCUUCUUUUGUCAAUGGCGGGCCAUUAUUCCUGAUGACAUAAACACUUCGGGUGACAUCACAUUAGGAAAGCUGAAAAGCCGAUGGAUUACAAAGACGGGGAGUCCUCAAAUCUUUUUAACUCGGAGUUUUCAUCACAUCAUCGGUGCGACCA
RNAcentral lists this small RNA (205 nucleotides) under uncultured Prevotella sp. RNAcentral describes it as "Bacteroidales-1 6S-Bacteroidales RNA suggested". It matches the Rfam family "Bacteroidales-1 6S-Bacteroidales RNA suggested". Lineage: Bacteria; Pseudomonadati; Bacteroidota; Bacteroidia; Bacteroidales; Prevotellaceae. The record is from RNAcentral.